GACGAACGCUGGCGGCGUGCCUAAUACAUGCAAGUCGAACGAAGCUGUUUUAACUGGUGCUUGCACCGACUUAAACAACUGAGUGGCGAACGGGUGAGUAACACGUGGGUAACCUGCCCCAAAGCGGGGGAUAACAUUUGGAAACAGAUGCUAAUACCGCAUAACCACAGAAACCACAUGGUUUCUGUGUCAAAGAUGGUUUCGGCUAUCACUUUGGGAUGGACCCGCGGCGUAUUAGCUAGUUGGUAAGGUAAUGGCUUACCAAGGCAAUGAUACGUAGCCGCAGUGAGAGGUUGGUCGGCCACAUUGGGACUGAGACACGGCCCAAACUCCUACGGGAGGCAGCAGUAGAGAAUCUUACACAAUGGACGAAAGUCUGAUGGAGCAGCGCCGCGUGAGUGAAGAAGGUUUUCGGAUCGUAAAAUUCUGUUGUCAGAGAAGAACGUGUGCGAGAGUAACUGCUCGUGCAGUGACGGUAUCUGGCCAGAAAGCCACGGCUAACUACGUGCCAGCCGCCGCCGUAA
RNAcentral lists this ribosomal RNA (524 nucleotides) under uncultured bacterium. RNAcentral describes it as "partial 16S ribosomal RNA". It matches the Rfam family "Bacterial small subunit ribosomal RNA", at positions 28 to 523 of the family's 1533-position model. The record is from RNAcentral.